AUGAAGCCGAGGUGGUUGAGAAACCGAACCUGCGAGGCUUGUGAAGGCUGAAUUGUGAUGAAGCCGAGGUGGUUGAGAAACCGAACCUACGAGGCUUGUGAAGGCUGAAUUGUAAGGCUCAAGCUGCUGAGGCACCUGCUGUCGAGGCACCUCCACCAUUGACUGGGCUUAGUUUAGUUCACUUUUCACUGUAAUCUAUCUUCAUCACAUGCUGUUUUUCUCCGAAGUGUGCUGGCCUCGUUAAGCAAUUGAACUUAAUGUUGAUUGAAGAACUAAACAACUUUAACUUGGUACCUUAACUCCAAUCACUUAAAACAACUGAAUUGUAUGCAACUUUCUUGAGUUAUGACCAACAUUACUUAAGUAAAUGAACAACUGUGUGAGCCUCGAACUUAAGCAAAUGAACUUUACUUAAGCAUAAUAACUGUAACCUGAAGGGAUUCAAUGAAUGCUGUUGCAGUCGAACUUAAGCAUAAUAAUUGUAUGAGCCUCGAAAUUCACGUGAAGUGGCUUCUCCCAUUGGCGUUCAGCCUCGCCAGAAGGAGGCAUGUGCUAGCAACUCGGAGUUCAAGCGAGGUGGCCCAGAGAUGGGACGCGAGCCUCCCCUCCAAGGUGACGACGCAUCCCAGACAUGGUGAAUGGUGUAGCCAUGUUGGGGCUUCUCCCCUUGGCGCUCAGCCUGGCCAGAGGGAGGCAUGUGCUAGCGCCUCGGAGUUCAAGCGAGGUGGCCCAGAGACGGGACGCGAGCCUCUCCUCCGAGGUGAC
This 765-nucleotide long non-coding RNA is filed under the name Olea europaea (common olive). RNAcentral describes it as "long non-coding RNA (OEUR_LNC013557)". Lineage: Eukaryota; Viridiplantae; Streptophyta; Magnoliopsida; Lamiales; Oleaceae. The record is from RNAcentral.